CGGCUGUUGAGCUCCUUCUGUGUUCCAGUGGAACAUCUGUGUUUUACUGUGCAAAUGAGAAUGGCCAGGAUGUUACAUACAGCUGGACUGUCAGUAACAGCAUCCUGGGAGAACGGACUGUAUUCAGUAACAGUUGUAAAUAUAUAUCUUUGAAGAACAUGUCUGGAACUGUCCGCUGCUCUGUGGAGAAGAAGGGCUGCAGUGCACAGAGUGAACCUCAGAACUUUGACUGCACAGAACACCCAUAUGAGACAAGACAGCCCUGGGGUGUCAUUGUUCUGAUCGUUGUCUGCACACUGCUACUUUGUCUGACCAUGGCUGCACUUCUGAGCUGUAUCCGAAGAAGCUACAAAAAACGUCUCCUGAAUGAGAAUUCUGCACAAUCCAAUUCCUCACCGGAGGCCACCAAUCACGAGCUAUUUUUUUAUAGUGAAGUCAGACUCUCACGAUGACGCCUGUGAGCGUUUAAUUGGGCAAAAUACAUGUUUGCCUGAAAAAAAUGAUUCACAUGUUUUAUGAUUUUAUUGAGAAAAAGAUUAUUAAUUUUUAGAAUGACAUGUAUUUGUGAUUCUGUGUAUAUAUUCCUCAUUUCAGAAGAGAUCCUUUAGCUUAACACAAAAUCAUAAACUAAGUACGAGGGAACUACAGACACACACACAUUUUCAGAACCGCUUGUCCCAUACGGGGUCACGGGGAACCAGAGCCUACCUGGUAACACAGGGCGUAAGGCCGGAGGGGGAGGAGACACACCCAGGACGGGACGCCAGUCCAUCGCAAGGCAUCCCAAGCGUGAUUCGAACCCCAGACCCACCGGAGAGGAGGACUGUGGUCCAACCCACUGUGCCACUGCGCCAC
Molecule: long non-coding RNA, 855 nt
Filed under: Scleropages formosus (Asian bonytongue)
Lineage: Eukaryota; Metazoa; Chordata; Actinopteri; Osteoglossiformes; Osteoglossidae
Description: lncRNA (ENSSFOG00015032243.1)
Source: RNAcentral